Molecule: ribosomal RNA, 117 nt
Filed under: Candidatus Omnitrophota bacterium
Lineage: Bacteria; Pseudomonadati; Candidatus Omnitrophota
Source: RNAcentral
CCUGGUGGCCAUACUGGAGGGGAAACACCCGUUCCCAUCCCGAAUACGGUCGUUAAGCCCUCCGAGGUUGAUGGUACUGCAUCGGCAACGAUGUGGGAGAGUAGAACGCUGCCAGGA